CUGCAGCCAAUUAAGCCUACGAGGUUCCUGUCCUCAUGGUGGCCCUGUGUGCAGUGGCCGCAAACAGCAGCCUCCUUGGGAGUGUAGUAACCUACUGCUUGUACAGGUGACCCUAAGGGACCUGGGGACAGUC
Molecule: small nucleolar RNA, 133 nt
Organism: Jaculus jaculus (lesser Egyptian jerboa)
Lineage: Eukaryota; Metazoa; Chordata; Mammalia; Rodentia; Dipodidae
Gene: SNORA70
Rfam family: Small nucleolar RNA SNORA70
About the family: snoRNA U70 seems to be exclusive to mammals and is a member of the H/ACA class of snoRNA which contain H (ANANNA) and ACA box motifs. H/ACA box snoRNAs are involved in the conversion of uridines to pseudouridines (5-ribosyluracil) a constituent of structural RNAs (transfer, ribosomal, small nuclear, and small nucleolar).
Source: Ensembl